Molecule: microRNA, 17 nt
Filed under: Corchorus olitorius
Lineage: Eukaryota; Viridiplantae; Streptophyta; Magnoliopsida; Malvales; Malvaceae
Description: hsa-miR-44
Source: RNAcentral
UUGUAGGCAUGGGUUUU